UGGGGAAUUUUCCGCAAUGGGCGCAAGCCUGACGGAGCAACGCCGCGUGAGGGAGGAAGGCCUGUGGGUUGUAAACUUCUUUUCUCUGGGAAGAAGAUCUGACGGUACCAGAGGAAUCAGCAUCGGCUAACUCCGUGCCAGCAGCCGCGGUAAGACGGAGGAUGCAAGCGUUAUCCGGAAUUAUUGGGCGUAAAGCGUCCGCAGGCGGUUAUUUAAGUCUGCUGUCAAAGACCACAGCUCAACUGUGGGCGGGCGGUGGAAACUGGGUAACUAGAGUUCGGUAGGGGUAGAGGGAAUUCCCAGUGUAGCGGUGAAAUGCGUAGAUAUUGGGAAGAACACCAGUGGCGAAGGCGCUCUACUGGGCCGAGACUGACGCUGAUGGACGAAAGCGUGGGGAGCAAACAGGAUUAGAUACCCGUGUAGUCC
This 426-nucleotide ribosomal RNA is filed under the name uncultured prokaryote. Its description in RNAcentral is "bacterial SSU rRNA". It matches the Rfam family "Bacterial small subunit ribosomal RNA", at positions 355 to 796 of the family's 1533-position model. The record is from RNAcentral.